GCAAGUCGAGGGGUAACAGUAGUGCUUGCACUUGCUGACGACCGGCGCACGAGUGCGUAACGUGUAUAUAACUUGCCGUUGUCUGGAAGAUAGCCCGGAGAAAUCCGGAUUAAUAUUCCAUGGUAUCUUAAGUGAGCAUUUACUAAAGAUUAAAGAUUUAUCGGACAGAGAUAGAUAUGCGUCCCAUUAGCUAGUUGGUAAGGUAACGGCUUACCAAGGCGAUGAUGGGUAGGGGGGCUGAGAGGAAGGUC
RNAcentral lists this ribosomal RNA (251 nucleotides) under uncultured bacterium. Its description in RNAcentral is "partial 16S ribosomal RNA". It matches the Rfam family "Bacterial small subunit ribosomal RNA", at positions 57 to 305 of the family's 1533-position model. The record is from RNAcentral.